Molecule: ribosomal RNA, 750 nt
Filed under: uncultured Thermotoga sp.
Lineage: Bacteria; Thermotogati; Thermotogota; Thermotogae; Thermotogales; Thermotogaceae
Description: bacterial SSU rRNA
Rfam family: Bacterial small subunit ribosomal RNA
Source: RNAcentral
GGUGAACGCUGGCGGCGUGCCUAACACAUGCAAGUCGAGCGGGUACCCGCAAGGGUACCAGCGGCGCACGGGUGAGUAACACGUGGGUAAUCUACCCCUCGGAGGGGGAUAACUGGGGGAAACCCCGGCUAAUACCCCAUACGAUCCGGCAACGAAGGUUGCUGGAUGAAAGGGGCGUUUGCUCCGCCGAGGGAUGAGCCCGCGGCCCAUCAGGUAGUUGGUGGGGUAAUGGCCCACCAAGCCUACGACGGGUAGCCGGCCUGAGAGGGUGGUCGGCCACAAGGGCACUGAGACACGGGCCCUACUCCUACGGGAGGCAGCAGUGGGGAAUCUUGGACAAUGGGCGAAAGCCUGAUCCAGCGACGCCGCGUGGGGGAUGAAGCCCUUCGGGGCGUAAACCCCUGUUGCGAGGGAGGAAUAAGGCCUGGAGGAAAUGCCAGGCCGAUGACUGUACCUCGCGAGGAAGCCCCGGCUAACUACGUGCCAGCAGCCGCGGUAAUACGUAGGGGGCGAGCGUUACCCGGAUUCACUGGGCGUAAAGCGGGUGUAGGCGGCUCGGUAAGUCGGGUGUGAAAUCCCACAGCUCAACUGUGGAAUUGCGCCCGAAACUGCUGAGCUUGGGGCCGGUAGAGGGAGACGGAACUGCCGGUGUAGGGGUGAAAUCCGUAGAUAUCGGCAGGAACGCCGGUGGGGAAGCCGGUCUCCUGGGCCGCGCCCGACGCUGAGACCCGAAAGCUAGGGGAGCAAACC